GAGGGCAUAGCUCAGUGGUAGAGUGUGUGCUUGGCACGCACAAGAUCCUGGGUUCAAUCCCCAGUACCCCCA
RNAcentral lists this transfer RNA (72 nucleotides) under Camelus ferus (Wild Bactrian camel). It matches the Rfam family "tRNA". Rfam says of the family: Transfer RNA (tRNA) molecules are approximately 80 nucleotides in length. Their secondary structure includes four short double-helical elements and three loops (D, anti-codon, and T loops). Lineage: Eukaryota; Metazoa; Chordata; Mammalia; Artiodactyla; Camelidae. The record is from Rfam by way of RNAcentral.